This 2899-nucleotide ribosomal RNA is filed under the name Escherichia coli. RNAcentral's name for it is "23S ribosomal RNA". It matches the Rfam family "Bacterial large subunit ribosomal RNA". The record is from RNAcentral. Lineage: Bacteria; Pseudomonadati; Pseudomonadota; Gammaproteobacteria; Enterobacterales; Enterobacteriaceae.
UUAAGCGACUAAGCGUACACGGUGGAUGCCCUGGCAGUCAGAGGCGAUGAAGGACGUGCUAAUCUGCGAUAAGCGUCGGUAAGGUGAUAUGAACCGUUAUAACCGGCGAUUUCCGAAUGGGGAAACCCAGUGUGAUUCGUCACACUAUCAUUAACUGAAUCCAUAGGUUAAUGAGGCGAACCGGGGGAACUGAAACAUCUAAGUACCCCGAGGAAAAGAAAUCAACCGAGAUUCCCCCAGUAGCGGCGAGCGAACGGGGAGCAGCCCAGAGCCGAAUCAGUGUGUGUGUUAGUGGAAGCGUCUGGAAAGGCGCGCGAUACAGGGUGACAGCCCCGUACACAAAAAUGCACAUGCUGUGAGCUCGAUGAGUAGGGCGGGACACGUGGUAUCCUGUCUGAAUAUGGGGGGACCAUCCUCCAAGGCUAAAUACUCCUGACUGACCGAUAGUGAACCAGUACCGUGAGGGAAAGGCGAAAAGAACCCCGGCGAGGGGAGUGAAAAAGAACCUGAAACCGUGUACGUACAAGCAGUGGGAGCACGCUUAGGCGUGUGACUGCGUACCUUUUGUAUAAUGGGUCAGCGACUUAUAUUCUGUAGCAAGGUUAACCGAAUAGGGGAGCCGAAGGGAAACCGAGUCUUAACUGGGCGUUAAGUUGCAGGGUAUAGACCCGAAACCCGGUGAUCUAGCCAUGGGCAGGUUGAAGGUUGGGUAACACUAACUGGAGGACCGAACCGACUAAUGUUGAAAAAUUAGCGGAUGACUUGUGGCUGGGGGUGAAAGGCCAAUCAAACCGGGAGAUAGCUGGUUCUCCCCGAAAGCUAUUUAGGUAGCGCCUCGUGAAUUCAUCUCCGGGGGUAGAGCACUGUUUCGGCAAGGGGGUCAUCCCGACUUACCAACCCGAUGCAAACUGCGAAUACCGGAGAAUGUUAUCACGGGAGACACACGGCGGGUGCUAACGUCCGUCGUGAAGAGGGAAACAACCCAGACCGCCAGCUAAGGUCCCAAAGUCAUGGUUAAGUGGGAAACGAUGUGGGAAGGCCCAGACAGCCAGGAUGUUGGCUUAGAAGCAGCCAUCAUUUAAAGAAAGCGUAAUAGCUCACUGGUCGAGUCGGCCUGCGCGGAAGAUGUAACGGGGCUAAACCAUGCACCGAAGCUGCGGCAGCGACACUAUGUGUUGUUGGGUAGGGGAGCGUUCUGUAAGCCUGUGAAGGUGUACUGUGAGGUAUGCUGGAGGUAUCAGAAGUGCGAAUGCUGACAUAAGUAACGAUAAAGCGGGUGAAAAGCCCGCUCGCCGGAAGACCAAGGGUUCCUGUCCAACGUUAAUCGGGGCAGGGUGAGUCGACCCCUAAGGCGAGGCCGAAAGGCGUAGUCGAUGGGAAACAGGUUAAUAUUCCUGUACUUGGUGUUACUGCGAAGGGGGGACGGAGAAGGCUAUGUUGGCCGGGCGACGGUUGUCCCGGUUUAAGCGUGUAGGCUGGUUUUCCAGGCAAAUCCGGAAAAUCAAGGCUGAGGCGUGAUGACGAGGCACUACGGUGCUGAAGCAACAAAUGCCCUGCUUCCAGGAAAAGCCUCUAAGCAUCAGGUAACAUCAAAUCGUACCCCAAACCGACACAGGUGGUCAGGUAGAGAAUACCAAGGCGCUUGAGAGAACUCGGGUGAAGGAACUAGGCAAAAUGGUGCCGUAACUUCGGGAGAAGGCACGCUGAUAUGUAGGUGAAGUCCCUCGCGGAUGGAGCUGAAAUCAGUCGAAGAUACCAGCUGGCUGCAACUGUUUAUUAAAAACACAGCACUGUGCAAACACGAAAGUGGACGUAUACGGUGUGACGCCUGCCCGGUGCCGGAAGGUUAAUUGAUGGGGUUAGCGCAAGCGAAGCUCUUGAUCGAAGCCCCGGUAAACGGCGGCCGUAACUAUAACGGUCCUAAGGUAGCGAAAUUCCUUGUCGGGUAAGUUCCGACCUGCACGAAUGGCGUAAUGAUGGCCAGGCUGUCUCCACCCGAGACUCAGUGAAAUUGAACUCGCUGUGAAGAUGCAGUGUACCCGCGGCAAGACGGAAAGACCCCGUGAACCUUUACUAUAGCUUGACACUGAACAUUGAGCCUUGAUGUGUAGGAUAGGUGGGAGGCUUUGAAGUGUGGACGCCAGUCUGCAUGGAGCCGACCUUGAAAUACCACCCUUUAAUGUUUGAUGUUCUAACGUUGACCCGUAAUCCGGGUUGCGGACAGUGUCUGGUGGGUAGUUUGACUGGGGCGGUCUCCUCCUAAAGAGUAACGGAGGAGCACGAAGGUUGGCUAAUCCUGGUCGGACAUCAGGAGGUUAGUGCAAUGGCAUAAGCCAGCUUGACUGCGAGCGUGACGGCGCGAGCAGGUGCGAAAGCAGGUCAUAGUGAUCCGGUGGUUCUGAAUGGAAGGGCCAUCGCUCAACGGAUAAAAGGUACUCCGGGGAUAACAGGCUGAUACCGCCCAAGAGUUCAUAUCGACGGCGGUGUUUGGCACCUCGAUGUCGGCUCAUCACAUCCUGGGGCUGAAGUAGGUCCCAAGGGUAUGGCUGUUCGCCAUUUAAAGUGGUACGCGAGCUGGGUUUAGAACGUCGUGAGACAGUUCGGUCCCUAUCUGCCGUGGGCGCUGGAGAAUUGAGGGGGGCUGCUCCUAGUACGAGAGGACCGGAGUGGACGCAUCACUGGUGUUCGGGUUGUCAUGCCAAUGGCACUGCCCGGUAGCUAAAUGCGGAAGAGAUAAGUGCUGAAAGCAUCUAAGCACGAAACUUGCCCCGAGAUGAGUUCUCCCUGACUCCUUGAGAGUCCUGAAGGAACGUUGAAGACGACGACGUUGAUAGGCCGGGUGUGUAAGCGCAGCGAUGCGUUGAGCUAACCGGUACUAAUGAACCGUGAGGCUUAACCU